GAGCGGCGAGAGUUCCACAGCCCGAUGGAACGUCCGCUUCUGCCCGCCUCCGGAAGCGCGAGCGAACGAGCGUACCACGCGUGUACGUGGAUCACCGCGGAUUCUCGCUGCUGUGCCGCCGCCAACCGGACGCAUUCGUUGGAUUCUGUCGACCGGUCAUCGAGUUCCCGAGUCGUUUUGUUCGAAGCAGCUGAACCCGGUUACGAUCGGUUUUAGAUUAGGGAGAAGCUUAGAAUUUCCAGAGCAAUUUCAAGGUUUGGAAUGCUUUCGCAUUGGGAUAGGGAAACUUGGGACUGAUGACAAUUCGGAUUCGAGGGCGGAAUAGAAGAAGAUUAAAGGAUACGGUCAGCUUAGAAAAUCCUGCACGCGCAAUGCGGAUUUCGAUCGCCAUGCUGGUCGAAAUGGCGAAACUCGACCGGGACUCGACCCAGAUCCUGUGCCCGAAAACAGAAGUACAAUCAGCAGCGAGUAACGGGGAGUUGAAACGGCGGUACUCGAAAAUUCAACGCGCUGCAGGCAUUCGAAACGAGCCAUAUGGGUAAAUCGAGCCACCAACGGCAGCUUUCCAUUGUGUGCAAUACGACAACAAUAUAAUAAAAAUAAUUUCCCGGAGGCAGAAACGUCGCCAGGGUAUUAGCGAGCUAAUGAAACGUGAGUUGGAGCGUAGCCUCUGGUGUCGCGUUUCCGGAAGACGGGAGGGGACGACUACCUUUCGGACGGAAGCCCGGGGAACGUGGUUACGAAAGCAAAGGGGACGAAGCAGAGAAAGAACACGAAUAAAAGAAAGACAGAAAAGAGAAACCCGAUCAAUUUAUUUAUUAAACGUUUUUCAUGCCUUUGUCGUAGCCUGUCGAGUUCCCACGGGAAAUACGAGGCGCUUAAAAGAGUGCUCCCGAGUUUGGCGAAUCUUGUGCGGGAGGGAAUCGCCACGAACCGACAGGAUGCCGGCAGAUCAACCAAAGAUACCUACCCCUAAUGGAAUCACGACCGACCUACCCGAAUUUGAGAAGAAACCAACAUAUCUCGCGAGAUUCAUGGGAUUUUUGUUCCGUGUGUGCACGAUCAACUCGAUUGUCUCGAAUUACAUACAAUGACUACAGCAAAUACUGUCACACAUCCUUAAUUGCCAACCAAGCGUUUAUUUCGAAGGUUCUACGUUUAAUUUUUCAAUUUUAGAGAAUCGAUUUGAUUUUGAGUAGUUUCGAGGAAAUUGUUCGUUUGUGGGUAAAGUUCAGAGAAGGAAGGAAGUUUCCAAAAGUUUCAAAUUGGGAGGUAAUAUGGAUGUAGGACUAUAAAAAAUUAGUUACUCAAGAUAUUCCUCGAAAGUGAAACUAAACAGGAAUAUUUCAUUCGAUUACUCGAGCGGGGUAGGUAGAAAUCACAACGACGCUUAACGACCACAAAUCGAAACGAGGCAAUGUCGUAACGCGUUUUCGUGCUUUUAGUGUCGAAAAACGGUCCCGUUCGAACGAAAAUAAUCUUAUUACCCAUAAAAACAACGUUUGAAGCGAUCGUAAAGAACAAGACGGUAGCCGUAAAAAUAAAAAAAAUAAAAAAGAAAAUGGGAAGACGACGAAGAAAACAAGAAGGGAGUCUACUCUAGGCGGAGGAUGCUAUCUCUUCCGCCCUUACAUAACGCAAGGAUUCUAAAGGACGAGAUUCGAGACGAACCUGCGUCUCCUUUCGAAUUUACGACCAGAGCGACUUUUAUGCCACAGAUUUGUCCUACAACUUAUCGAUUCCAUUAAGCACUAUUAGCAAGCCGAAGCAACUUGGCAUCGAGAAGCGGACCUCGAGCGGUCGACAGGCCCUCGACAUCGCUUACCUGUUCGUCCGGUUCGCCUCGAGUGGAUUCAUUUGUUUUAGGAACGACGAGGACGACGGAGAUUCGGGCGUUGAGAUAAAGGAGUCGAUUCGAAGGCCUUCAGGAUCUAUCUUCGAAUAUUUCGAAUUUGUUUUCCAUGAAAGAUGACUCUGCUCUUUCAUCUUAUACGACACAGUCGAUUUCAUUCGACUUAUCGUUUGGAAGAUAAUAGACGUUCGUCAGAGACGAAAUAUGCGCAGAAUACGUUUUCGUUGAAUAUCUUCUCGAUGAUGCAAAGUUUAACUUUAUAAUUUAACCAGUUAGUCGUUUUAAUUAUUAUACCAAAUUCUACUUCUUUUCAUUCUUUUUUGUUACAUUUAGAUAAUAGGUAGAGAUAGAAAUAAUAAAUGAAGAUGAAGAUAAUAAGCGAAGAUAGAGACAAUAAGUGGAGAUCAGUUUGUCUUGUGACUUAGACAUUUCAUUAUUCUGAAAUGCUUGUUAGAACACGCUUUUGGUCUGUAGAACGCAUUCAUUUUAACCACAGCCUUAGUCACAAAUAUCGCAGCAAAUUAGUCAAACUCAACAAUUCACGUUUCAUAACCGAGGUCUAAUACACUUUGAAUAAUAAAA
Bombus pascuorum is the source of this 2434-nucleotide long non-coding RNA. RefSeq lists it as uncharacterized. Lineage: Eukaryota; Metazoa; Arthropoda; Insecta; Hymenoptera; Apidae. The record is from RefSeq and is a predicted model, not a curated record. The transcript is spliced from 2 exons.